Molecule: long non-coding RNA, 2399 nt
Filed under: Anas platyrhynchos platyrhynchos (common mallard)
Lineage: Eukaryota; Metazoa; Chordata; Aves; Anseriformes; Anatidae
Description: lncRNA (ENSAPLG00000023216.1)
Source: RNAcentral
CUUGUCUGCAAAACAAAGUGCAUGUACAGACCUACGCAGAGCUUACUGUGCUGUUGUGGUGUGCCCCUGCUGCAGCCCUCGAGAAUUUUGGGAAACACAUGUAACUUGCUGCAGGAGCUGCCCUCAUUGUAAGGAUGAUGCAUUGAGAAAGUGUGCCUGGGGAGCUGAAAGCAUCACUUAGAUCACUGUGUCCCGCUUGGUGACCAGAAGAGUAACAUGGCCUGGCUGGCUGGAGUCUGAGCACGGGGAAAGCCCACGGACAGUGCCACAAAAGAAAUGGUUCUCCUGGGUCAGAAAACUGUGCUGUAACGACAGAGUAAGCUCCAGCAAAGCCACGGCACAGGUCAGGGCUGGGAAGUGUACACAAAGGGCUUUCCCUGUAGAACAGGUCAGGUCAUGCUGCUGAUUAAAUGCGUCCUGCAAAGGUGCCAUAACUCUCCAGCCUGAGUGUGUUACGUCUCCAGAGCAAGAGCAGGGUUUUGCAAGACUGGAUUAAGGAGGGUUGUCUGGGGGAUACAAUCAGGACAGUAGGAUCUCUGAUGUGCAUCCAGCCCCCAAACGGACAAAAGGACACCUCCUCUGGGUCUGCGGUCUGGGGAUCAGGACAGCAUCUGGGUAUGGUGCAGAGCAAUGGGUGCAUUUCCUGCCUUGUCUGGUACCUCUUCUGCUCCUUGACCCCUGUCAUGUCUGGGCCAGCGCAGAGCAUUCUCACAGACCAGGAAGUUGCUGCUUUUUUCUUCUCUGAACACAGGCUAUGGGUGAAACUUGCUGUUUCACUUGUAUUUGGCAAGGGGAUCCUGGCUUCAGCAGUGAGCACGGCUUUGUGCAGGAGAUCCUACAGCACAGGCUCCUGCUCUGCUCCAGACACAUGGUAACUGGUAAGCUUUGAUUUCUUAACUAUAGUGUCUCAGUGCAAAACUUCCAGAUCAUAUUUAAAGCGAUGCUGAUUAUUAAGAGCUGCACUCUUUCUUGACAUUGCUGCUACCUUGCUUUUUGCUGUCUUAGGUGAAAAGCAAGCUCUAAUAAUUUCCCUCUGUUCUUCAGAUUUUAAGCGGUAUUAUGUUAUCUGUGCUUUAGCUUAAAUGCUUAUAUUCCCUGUUGCUGGAGAUCUUCUUGCUUUCCCCUUCCUUCUGCCCCCUCAGCCCUAUUUAGACAAUCCCCAAAUGCAUGGCUUUUGAAAGUGCUGUUAAUACCUCUCACUCCACUGUUUAUGAUGCUGGGCAGUGGUGCAUUCAGAUUAUCACAGCACGGGUAAAAUAAUACCCACUUCUUCGCUUACAUCCUAUUACCGCACCUCAGAGAGCCCUCUCACUUAGAUUACUCAGGGGAAAUUCAAUGACAUACAGCCUUUUGAUUUGAAAUAUAAACUGUUGUGCAGAGAUUUAAAAGAUACCCUAAUUUAUUUGGAAACGACCAGGAGUGUGCUGGAACUCUUUUGAUUGCCAUGCUUUAUUAGACCGUGAUUUUUUCCAUCUAGCUUCUAUUCCCAAAACCUACAGAACGAUCGUGAUUUACUUUGGACAUCUGUUAAAUUCUGGGCUGCCUGGGGAACAAAGCAAGGGAGCUGCAUUCCUGGUGGGAAUAUGGGAGAAUAGUGGAACCGGCUGUGUUCUCCCAGCUUUGUGAUUCCUCUAGCUUGCAUGUUUUUUGCAUGUAAAUGUGUGCAUAUCUAGACAUGUAAUGGUAAACUGCUAUUAUUAAAUAUAUGAAGACCACCUCAAGCCUUUCCCUGAAGAGCAAAGCCUAUCAGGUUGUUGCUUUGCUUUUCCCACCCAGAACAAAUCAGGAGCACGGAUGGGAGCAGUGACAGGGUGCUGGGACCUGUUUGGUUCCCCACCCGCUGCUGCUGAGAUAUUUCUGUUUUCAGCUGUCACUACCAGUGUAUUCUCAGUUCUCCCCUCCACCCCCAGCUGCAACCAGCACUGAGAAGGCUGCCCAAUUCUCUCCUAGCAGUUGAAGCAAACCCUGCUGCAUUUCUGCUUCCUCCUGCAGGACAGAUUUACUCACUGUGGUUACCCUGUGGUUGCCACACGUUAGUUACAUUAAAGGCAACUGCGCCCUAAUCUAAUGAAACAGAAAUUCACCAGACGUAUAAAAACAUUCUGUUGUUCUCCUCUAUUCAUGAACACUUCCUGUGCUCCCCCUCACUAAUUUCGGGAAUAAGGUCAGCCUGUUGGAAGGGAGCUUUCAAAGUCUGUCAGGUUAAAAUAUAUCCACCCUGGUUGGAUUGCAGCGGCUGCAGUAACCAGGAGCACGAGGGUGAUAUUCCUGUUUGAAGAGCAACGAUAGGUAUUUGUCUGCAGUAAGAGUCAGUAUCUGGGGUUCCUAAUUGUUCGAAGGCGUUGCGGAAGGCACACUGAGUCAAUAAAGGCUUUACCUGAGUAAAGGUGACUGAAGUG